GGAAGAACGUGGGAUUCGAAAUCUGAAAGUCUGUGGGUUCAAGCUCCAACCAUUUC
Molecule: transfer RNA, 56 nt
Filed under: Thalassiosira minuscula
Lineage: Eukaryota; Bacillariophyta; Thalassiosirophyceae; Thalassiosirales; Thalassiosiraceae
Description: partial tRNA
Source: RNAcentral